Hordeum vulgare subsp. vulgare (domesticated barley) is the source of this 124-nucleotide non-coding RNA. Lineage: Eukaryota; Viridiplantae; Streptophyta; Magnoliopsida; Poales; Poaceae. The record is from Rfam.
AUGAUACUCCCUCCGUCCAAAAAUACUUAUCCUAUAAAUGGACGUAUCCAGACUUAUUUUAGUUAUAGAUACAUCCAUUUUAUUUAUUCUUAGGACAAGUAUUUCCGGACGAAGGGAGUACAAU